CAAUAGCGUAUAUUAAAGUUGUUGCAGUUAAAAAGCUCGUAGUUGGAUUUGUGGUUCGUCCCGCCGGCUGGGUCAUUGACUUUUGCUGUGCUGGUCGUCCAUCCUUGGGUGGAAUCUGUGUGGCAUUAGAUUGUCGCGCAGGGGAUGCCCAUCGUUUACUGUGAAAAAAUUAGAGUGUUCAAAGCAGGCUUAUGCCGUUGAAUAUAUUAGCAUGGAAUAAUGAUAUAGGACCUUGGUACUAUUUUGUUGGUUUGCGCAUCGAGGUAAUGAUUAAUAGGGACAGUUGGGGGUAUUCGUAUUCCAUUGUAAGAGGUGAAAUUCUUGGAUUUUUGGAAGACGAACUACUGCGAAAGCAUUUACCAAGGAUGUUUUCAUUAA
Molecule: ribosomal RNA, 378 nt
Filed under: uncultured eukaryote
Lineage: Eukaryota
Description: partial 18S ribosomal RNA
Rfam family: Eukaryotic small subunit ribosomal RNA
Source: RNAcentral